RNAcentral lists this small nuclear RNA (166 nucleotides) under Carlito syrichta (Philippine tarsier). RNAcentral's name for it is "U4 spliceosomal RNA (ENSTSYG00000020941.2)". The stretch from base 1 to 149 matches the Rfam family "U4 spliceosomal RNA". From Rfam's summary of the family: U4 small nuclear RNA (U4 snRNA) is a component of the major U2-dependent spliceosome. The structure of U4 snRNA from yeast and human has been reported. U4 snRNA presents a k-turn RNA motif in the 5p-SL related to recognition of Snu13 protein. The record is from Rfam by way of RNAcentral. Lineage: Eukaryota; Metazoa; Chordata; Mammalia; Primates; Tarsiidae.
AGGUUUGCACAGUGGCAGUAUCGUAGCCAGUGACAUUGAUCUGAGGCGUGAUUAUUGCUAAUUGAAAACUUUUCCCAAUACCCCACCAUGACAACCUGCAAUAAUACUUGAUAAGGGCUUUUCUAUUGUGGUUGGAGCUGGUUAUCUGGUGAACUCUCCUUCCAGU